CCUACGGGAGGCAGCAGUAGGGAAUCUUCGUCAAUGGGCGCAAGCCUGAACGAGCGAUGCCGCGUGAGUGAAGAAGGCCUUCGGGUCGUAAAGCUCUGUUGCGGGGGAAAAAAGGCAGCAUCAGGAAAUGGGUGCUGACUGAUGGUGCCCCGCCAGAAAGUCACGGCUAACUACGUGCCAGCAGCCGCGGUAAUACGUAGGUGGCGAGCGUUAUCCGGAAUGGUUGGGUGGAAAGGGUGGGUAGGCGGUCCUGCAAGUCUGGAGUGAAACGCAUGAGCUCAACUCAUGCAUGGCAAUGGAAACUGGAGGACUGGAGGGCAGGAGAGGGCGGUGGAACUCCAAGUGUAGCGGUGAAAUGCGUAGAUAUAAGGAAGAACACCAGUGGCGAAGGCGGCCGACUGGCCUGUUGCUGACGCUGAGGCACGAAAGCGUGGGGAGCAAAUAGGAUUAGAUACCCGAGUAGUC
RNAcentral lists this ribosomal RNA (465 nucleotides) under uncultured bacterium. RNAcentral's name for it is "partial 16S ribosomal RNA". It matches the Rfam family "Bacterial small subunit ribosomal RNA", at positions 338 to 795 of the family's 1533-position model. The record is from RNAcentral.